UCCCUGGUGGUCUAGUGGUUAGGACUCAGAACUUUUACUGCUAUGGCCCAGGUUUAAUCCCUGGUCGGGAAC
This 72-nucleotide transfer RNA is filed under the name Sus scrofa (pig). It matches the Rfam family "tRNA". From Rfam's summary of the family: Transfer RNA (tRNA) molecules are approximately 80 nucleotides in length. Their secondary structure includes four short double-helical elements and three loops (D, anti-codon, and T loops). The record is from Rfam by way of RNAcentral. Lineage: Eukaryota; Metazoa; Chordata; Mammalia; Artiodactyla; Suidae.